AGUCGCAGCAGAGUUCUGCGAAAUCCAGACUUUGGUUAAUGAACAAAGGAGAACUGCCAAGUCAUUGGGCUGAGAUCCCCUCAUCUCAUAAUCGCUCCCUUUGUUUUUCCAACUUCAGUCUCCGUCCAGUAUGUGUGUGUGUUAGUCUUUUUUUCCCCUCCCUCCUGUCUUCUGCUUCUCUGUUCUCUUUGUUUGUUAUAUCAUGAUCUGUAAUUCUUAUAUGCACGCUUGCACGUGUGCUCGUCAAAAUUUGUUAUUUGUUGCUCUUACUUUUUCCUGUCUUAUAUACCCAUUUUUUGUGAAUCUUUCCACAUCUGCAGCUGGAACAAAAACAACAACCCUGAGCCUGGAACAAGCUGGAUCCAACCUUCCAGUAUAAGUUCGUGGCCAUCAACACAGACUACAAGAACCUGAAGAAGGAGGGGCCCGACUUCUAAAGGUCCUCCAGGGAACUCCAGGGGUACCAAAGUUUUUGGCAGGACCUCCAGCUGUCACCUCACCGAUGGCAAAACUUCCUCCUGAACAUUUCAUCUGGAUAACCUUGCAGAGCAGCUCUGAAUUAAUGCUGAAGUGUGGACAAGAAAGAAAUAAAGCUCAGACCAGCGAUGAUACAGCAGACCGUUUUUAGAGUACGACCGGUGUUGUAGUUACCCUUUUAGAGGACAACGACACGGGCCUGGCUUGAUUCUGAGAACUAUGGAAGAGCAAGAUGUCAGUUCAGCUUUAAAAAGAAAAGAAAAAAGUUAUAACCAUUUUGCAUUGACUAUGCAAAAGGUGAAAGUAUCUCAAGCAUCUGAUCUGAUCUGUUGUUAGCGUCUAAACUAGAAGGGAAGCGGGUAGGGACAUGUGGAAACUUACGGAAGCGUAUUGCAUUCACUUGGAAAAAAAUUUAAAAAGCUCUUUUUUUUCGCUAUAAUUUUUUCCGCCCUGUUUUUGGGUGUACAUGAUGCAUAUGAAAUGCCUUUAGGCUUUGUGGUGGCCCAAGAGAUGAUCAGGACACUGCUGAAAAUAUUGGAUCUGCACGGUUUGCAGCUGAGGAGACGGAAUCACCUUCGGCGGCGUAUGGGCGUAAAAAAUACCACAAAAAAAACGAAAAAAUUAUCCCGAAAAACAAUGCUUUUUUUUUUUAACUGAAUGCAAUACACUUCCGUAGAAACUCAACUUUUUUCGAAUGGAAAACAAAAAGUGUUGCAAGGAGAAUAGUUAUGAGUCUCAUUAGGGCUGUGCGAUUCAUCGAUUUUAAAUCUAAAUCGAAUGUAUUAAUCAAGACGAUGUUAAAAAAAGGAAAAUCGGAAAAUCGAUUUUCCUUUUUUGCAGCUGGCUGCAUUACAGACAGAGCUCGUCUAGUCAUCUUUGUUUGGUCAAGAAAAUUGUAAAUGUUGUCACUUUACUAAACUCAAGGAGGAUUUACAGUAUCUUUCAAUUGCACUUCAUUCCCAAUAGGGAAAUUUGUUUGCUAUUUUUCUUUAAAAAUAAAGAUAAAAUAUUUGAAACUAUUUAUUUCAUUGUCUUUUGUAGUUUUACCAAAAAAAUCGAAAUCGAAAAUCGGGUUUUCAGAGAAAAAAAUCGGGAUUUUAUUUUUGUCCAAAAUCGCCCAGCCCUAAGUCUCAUAUAAAUUGAUUUCCCACUAUUUCACAUUAUUAGUUUUAAUACAUAAACUAGUUGGGGUAAUUAGAGGAGAUACAGUACGUCACACAAUCGAGUUACCCAACAAAUACAGGGUUAACCAUUUCCAGGUCAGUCAUGUAUGUGAUUUAUUAAAGAAAUCCCAUCUGUUGAAAACUGGGUCCACCACAGGCCCACAUCGACACAAAUGUCUCAUUUCAUUUUCACCGUACAGUAAAACAACUGGUCUGCAUGUGUUUCCACCUAUCGACAGCCCUUUACAUUUGUCUCCUCGUCUCUGUUCUGUCACUUUCUGUGUUGUACCACACAGACUUCCAAUAAAGCUUUUGUCAUUUA
Long non-coding RNA from Cololabis saira (Pacific saury), 1962 nucleotides. RefSeq lists it as uncharacterized. The transcript is spliced from 2 exons. Lineage: Eukaryota; Metazoa; Chordata; Actinopteri; Beloniformes; Belonidae. The record is from RefSeq and is a predicted model, not a curated record.